RNAcentral lists this transfer RNA (66 nucleotides) under Aphrophora alni (alder spittlebug). RNAcentral describes it as "tRNA-Asn". Lineage: Eukaryota; Metazoa; Arthropoda; Insecta; Hemiptera; Aphrophoridae. The record is from RNAcentral.
AUUAAUUGAAGCCAAAAUAUGAGGCAUUUUAUUGUUAAUAAAAAAAUUGAAUAAAAUCCAAUUAAA